RNAcentral lists this ribosomal RNA (253 nucleotides) under uncultured bacterium. Its description in RNAcentral is "partial 16S ribosomal RNA". It matches the Rfam family "Bacterial small subunit ribosomal RNA", at positions 524 to 776 of the family's 1533-position model. The record is from RNAcentral.
UACAGAGGGGGCAAGCGUUGUUCGGAAUUACUGGGCGUAAAGGGCGCGUAGGCGGCCUUCUAAGUCGAACGUGAAAUCCCCGGGCUCAACCCGGGAACUGCGUCCGAUACUGGAAGGCUUGAAUCCGGGAGAGGGAUGCGGAAUUCCAGGUGUAGCGGUGAAAUGCGCAGAUAUCAGGAGGAACACCGGUGGCGAAGGCGGAUCUCUGGGCCUUACCUGACGCUGAGGCGCGAAAGCUAGGGGAGCAUACAGG